This 498-nucleotide ribosomal RNA is filed under the name uncultured bacterium. RNAcentral describes it as "partial 16S ribosomal RNA". It matches the Rfam family "Bacterial small subunit ribosomal RNA", at positions 28 to 507 of the family's 1533-position model. The record is from RNAcentral.
GACGAACGCUGGCGGCGUGCCUAAUACAUGCAAGUCGAACGAGAGCGACCGGUGCUUGCACUGGUCAAUCUAGUGGCGAACGGGUGAGUAACACGUGGGUAACCUGCUCAUCAGAGGGGGAUAACAUCCGGAAACGGAUUCUAAAACCUCAUAGGUCUUCGAGCCGCAUGGCUUGAAGAGGAAAAGAGGCGCAAGCUUCUGCUGAUGGAUGGACCCGCGGUGCAUUAGCUAGUUGGUGAGGUAACGGCUCACCAAGGCCGAGAUGUAUAGCCGACCUGAGAGGGUGAUCGGCCACAUUGGGACUGAGACACGGCCCAAACUCCCACGGGAGGCAGAAGUAGGGAAUCUUACGCAAUGGACGCAAGUCUGACGGAGCAACGCCGCGUGAGUGAAGAAGGUUUUCGGAUCGUAAAACUCUGUUGUUAGAGAAGAACAAGUGCUAGAGUAACUGUUAGAGCCUUGACGGUAACUAACCAGAAAGCCACGGCUAACUACGUG